GUCUGAUUGAAUACUUUAAUCAGUCUGGCCUGCCCACUGAUAAUAAUUUUAAAGGCCGCGGUAUACUGACCGUGCGAAGGUAGCAUAAUAAUUAGUCUUUUAAUUAAAGACUGGAAUGAAAGGUCGAACAAAAAGUAAUCUUUCCCAGAACCUCAUAUCUAAUUUAACGUUUAAGUGAAAAGGCUUAAAUAUUCUUUAAAGACGACAAGACCCUAUAAAACUUUAUAAAAAAACCAUGUCUUUAAACUUAUUAGUGCAUUUAUUUUAUAGGUUUUUUUUAUUUCGUUGGGGCGACGAAAGCAUAGUUAAACCUGCUCUUUACUUAACUACAAAUAUAUUUGCUAAAGGACCCUUUUUUAAGAUCAAAAGAUAAAGUUACUUUAGGGAUAACAGCGUAAUUUUUUUUCAGAGUCCUUAUCGACAAUAAAGUUUGCGACCUCGAUGUUGAAUUAAAGUUCCUUUGCAAUGCAGCAGUUGCUUAAGUAGGUCUGUUCGACCUUUAAAACUUUACAUGAUUUGAGUUCAAACCGGCGUGAG
Molecule: ribosomal RNA, 537 nt
Filed under: Caviallianassa sp. FP-11
Lineage: Eukaryota; Metazoa; Arthropoda; Malacostraca; Decapoda; Callianassidae
Also listed under: 1 other name
Description: partial large subunit ribosomal RNA
Rfam family: Bacterial large subunit ribosomal RNA
Source: RNAcentral